GUGUCAGCAGCCGCGGUAAUACGAAGGGGGCUAGCGUUGUUCGGAAUUACUGGGCGUAAAGCGCACGUAGGCGGCUCAUUAAGUCAGGGGUGAAAUCCCGGGGCUCAACCUCGGAAUUGCCUUUGAUACUGGUGAGCUUGAGUCCGAGAGAGGUGAGUGGAACUCCGAGUGUAGAGGUGAAAUUCGUAGAUAUUCGGAAGAACACCAGUGGCGAAGGCGGCUCACUGGCUCGGUACUGACGCUGAGGUGCGAAAGCGUGGGGAGCAAACAGGAUUAGAUACCCGUGUAGUCC
RNAcentral lists this ribosomal RNA (292 nucleotides) under uncultured bacterium. Its description in RNAcentral is "partial 16S ribosomal RNA". It matches the Rfam family "Bacterial small subunit ribosomal RNA", at positions 505 to 796 of the family's 1533-position model. The record is from RNAcentral.